AUCAAAGGUGAGCCAGUACAGGAUGGACCCGCGUCUGAUUAGCUAGUUGGUAAGGUAACGGCUUACCAAGGCGACUAUCAGUAGCCGACCUGAGAGGGUGAGCGGCCACAUUGGAACUGAGACACGGUCCAAACUCCUACGGGAUGCAGCAGUGGGGAAUAUUGCACAAUGGGCGAAAGCCUGAUGCAGCAACGCCGCGUGAGGGAUGAAGGCCUUCGGGUCGUAAAACUCUGUCCUCAAGGAAGAUAAUGACGGUACUUGAGGAGGAAGCCCCGGCUAACUACUUGCCAGCAGCCGCGGUAAUACGUAGGGGGCUAGCGUUAUCCGGAUUUACUGGGCGUAAAGGGUGCGUAGGCGGUCUUUCAAGUCAGGAGUGAAAGGCUACGGCUCAACCGUAGUAAGCUCUUGAAACUGGGAGACUUGAGUGCAG
RNAcentral lists this ribosomal RNA (430 nucleotides) under Clostridioides difficile. RNAcentral describes it as "bacterial SSU rRNA". It matches the Rfam family "Bacterial small subunit ribosomal RNA", at positions 200 to 651 of the family's 1533-position model. The record is from RNAcentral. Lineage: Bacteria; Bacillati; Bacillota; Clostridia; Peptostreptococcales; Peptostreptococcaceae.